RNAcentral lists this ribosomal RNA (301 nucleotides) under uncultured bacterium. RNAcentral's name for it is "partial 16S ribosomal RNA". It matches the Rfam family "Bacterial small subunit ribosomal RNA", at positions 509 to 807 of the family's 1533-position model. The record is from RNAcentral.
CAGUAGCCGCGGGAAUACGUAGGGUGCGAGCGUUAAUCGGAAUUACUGGGCGUAAAGCGUGCGCAGGCGGUUGUGUAAGACAGGUGUGAAAUCCCCGGGCUUAACCUGGGAACUGCGCUUGUGACUGCACAGCUAGAGUGUGGCAGAGGGGGGUGGAAUUCCACGUGUAGCAGUGAAAUGCGUAGAGAUGUGGAGGAACACCGAUGGCGAAGGCAGCCCCCUGGGCCAAUACUGACGCUCAAGCACGAAAGCGUGGGGAGCAAACAGGAUUAGAUACCCCGGUAGUCCCUGUCUCUUAUAC